UACUGGAGACAGGUGCUGCAUGGCUGUCGUCAGCUCGUGUCGUGAGAUGUUGGGUUAAGUCCCGCAACGAGCGCAACCCUUGCCUUUAGUUGCCAGCAGUUCGGCUGGGCACUCUAAAGGGACUGCCGGUGUUAAACCGGAGGAAGGUGGGGAUGACGUCAAGUCCUCAUGGCCUUUAUGACCAGGGCUACACACGUACUACAAUGGCCGAUACAAAGGGCAGCGACACUGCGAGGUGAAGCCAAUCCCGUAAAAUCGGUCUCAGUCCGGAUUGGAGUCUGCAACUCGACUCCAUGAAGUUGGAAUCGCUAGUAAUCGUGGAUCAGCAUGCCACGGUGAAUACGUUCCCGGGCCUU
RNAcentral lists this ribosomal RNA (356 nucleotides) under uncultured Desulfobulbus sp. RNAcentral's name for it is "bacterial SSU rRNA". It matches the Rfam family "Bacterial small subunit ribosomal RNA", at positions 1026 to 1382 of the family's 1533-position model. The record is from RNAcentral. Lineage: Bacteria; Pseudomonadati; Thermodesulfobacteriota; Desulfobulbia; Desulfobulbales; Desulfobulbaceae.